This 615-nucleotide ribosomal RNA is filed under the name uncultured bacterium. RNAcentral's name for it is "bacterial SSU rRNA". It matches the Rfam family "Bacterial small subunit ribosomal RNA", at positions 338 to 948 of the family's 1533-position model. The record is from RNAcentral.
CCUACGGGAGCAGCAGUGGGGAAUUUUGGACAAUGGGCGCAAGCCUGAUCCAGCAAUGCCGCGUGCAGGAUGAAGGCCUUCGGGUUGUAAACUGCUUUUGUACGGAACGAAACGGUCCUUUCUAAUAUAAGGGGCUAAUGACGGUACCGUAAGAAUAAGCACCGGCUAACUACGUGCCAGCAGCCGCGGUAAUACGUAGGGUGCGAGCGUUAAUCGGAAUUACUGGGCGUAAAGCGUGCGCAGGCGGUUAUAUAAGACAGAUGUGAAAUCCCCGGGCUCAACCUGGGACCUGCAUUUGUGACUGUAUAGCUAGAGUACGGUAGAGGGGGAUGGAAUUCCGCGUGUAGCAGUGAAAUGCGUAGAUAUGCGGAGGAACACCGAUGGCGAAGGCAAUCCCCUGGACCUGUACUGACGCUCAUGCACGAAAGCGUGGGGAGCAAACAGGAUUAGAUACCCUGGUAGUCCACGCCCUAAACGAUGUCAACUGGUUNUUGGGUCUUCACUGACUCAGUAACGAAGCUAACGCGUGAAGUUGACCGCCUGGGGAUACGGCCGCAAGGUUGAAACUUAAAGGAAUUGACGGCNGAGAGUGCGAGACGACGACGAGGGAGGAGG